GUGGGGAAUAUUGGACAAUGGGGGGAACCCUGAUCCAGCCAUACCGCGUGUGUGAAGAAGGCCUUUUGGUUGUAAAGCACUUUAAGCGAGGAGGAGGCUACCGAGAUUAAUACUCUUGGAUAGUGGACGUUACCCGCAGAAUAAGCACCGGCUAACUCUGUGCCAGCAGCCGCGGUAAUACAGAGGGUGCAAGCGUUAAUCGGAUUUACUGGGCGUAAAGCGCGCGUAGGUGGCCAAUUAAGUCAAAUGUGAAAUCCCCGAGCUUAACUUGGGAAUUGCAUUCGAUACUGGUUGGCUAGAGUAUGGGAGAGGAUGGUAGAAUUCCAGGUGUAGCGGUGAAAUGCGUAGAGAUCUGGAGGAAUACCGAUGGCGAAGGCAGCCAUCUGGCCUAAUACUGACACUGAGGUGCGAAAGCAUGGGGAGCAAACAGGAUUAGAAACCCGAGUAGUCC
Molecule: ribosomal RNA, 451 nt
Filed under: uncultured bacterium
Lineage: Bacteria
Description: bacterial SSU rRNA
Rfam family: Bacterial small subunit ribosomal RNA
Source: RNAcentral